Molecule: ribosomal RNA, 250 nt
Filed under: uncultured bacterium
Lineage: Bacteria
Description: partial 16S ribosomal RNA
Rfam family: Bacterial small subunit ribosomal RNA
Source: RNAcentral
UACAGAGGGUGCAAGCGUUGUUCGGAAUCAUUGGGCGUAAAGGGCGUAUAGGCGGUUUGUUAAGUCAUGUGUGAAAUCCCCCGGCUCAACCGGGGAACGACGCAUGAAACUGGCAAGCUAGAGUACCAAAGAAGGGGGUGGAAUUCCCGAUGUAGCGGUGAAAUGCGUAGAUAUCGAGAGGAACACCUGUGGCGAAGGCGGCCCCCUAGUUGGAUACUGACGCUGAGACGCGAAAGCGUGAGGAGCAAAC